GAUGAACGCUGGCGGUGUGCCUAAUACAUGCAAGUCGAGCGAACAGACGAGGAGCUUACUCCUCUGACGUUAGCGGCGGACGGGUGAGUAACACGUGGAUAACCUACCUAUAAGACUGGGAUAACUUCGGGAAACCGGAGCUAAUACCGGAUAACAUGUUGAACCGCAUGGUUCAACAGUGAAAGACGGUCUUGCUGUCACUUAUAGAUGGAUCCGCGUCGCAUUAGCUAGUUGGUAAGGUAACGGCUUACCAAGGCAACGAUGCGUAGCCGACCUGAGAGGGUGAUCGGCCACACUGGAACUGAGACACGGUCCAGACUCCUACGGGAGGCAGCAGUAGGGAAUCUUCCGCAAAGGGCGAAAGCCUGACGGAGCAACGCCGCGUGAGUGAAGAAGGUCUUCGGAUCGUAAAACUCUGUUAUUAGGGAAGAACAAAUAUGUAAGUAACUAUGCACGUCUUGACGGUACCUAAUCAGAAAGCCACGGCUAACUACGUG
This 497-nucleotide ribosomal RNA is filed under the name uncultured bacterium. Its description in RNAcentral is "partial 16S ribosomal RNA". It matches the Rfam family "Bacterial small subunit ribosomal RNA", at positions 28 to 507 of the family's 1533-position model. The record is from RNAcentral.